GAUGAACGCUGGCGGCGUGCCUAAUACAUGCAAGUCGAGCGAACGGACGAGAAGCUUGCUUCUCUGAUGUUAGCGGCGGACGGGUGAGUAACACGUGGAUAACCUACCUAUAAGACUGGGAUAACUUCGGGAAACCGGAGCUAAUACCGUAUGAUAUUUUGAACCGCAUUGUUCAAAAGUGAAAGACGGUCUUGCUGUCACUUAUAGAUGGAUCCGCGCUGCAUUAGCUAGUUGGUAAGGUAACGGCUUACCAAGGCAACGAUGCAUAGCCGACCUGAGAGGGUGAUCGGCCACACUAGAACUGAGACACGGUCCAGACUCCUACGGGAGGCAGCAGUAGGGAAUCUUCCGCAAUGGGCGAAAGCCUGACGGAGCAACGCCGCGUGAGUGAUGAAGGUCUUCGGAUCGUAAAACUCUGUUAUUAGGGAAGAACAUAUGUGUAAGUAACUGUGCACAUCUUGACGGUACCUAAUCAGAAAGCCACGGCUAACUACGUG
RNAcentral lists this ribosomal RNA (497 nucleotides) under uncultured bacterium. RNAcentral's name for it is "partial 16S ribosomal RNA". It matches the Rfam family "Bacterial small subunit ribosomal RNA", at positions 28 to 507 of the family's 1533-position model. The record is from RNAcentral.